This 310-nucleotide ribosomal RNA is filed under the name uncultured bacterium. RNAcentral describes it as "partial 16S ribosomal RNA". It matches the Rfam family "Bacterial small subunit ribosomal RNA", at positions 503 to 807 of the family's 1533-position model. The record is from RNAcentral.
AAGAGACAGCAGUAGCCGCGGGAAUACAGAGGGUGCGAGCGUUAAUCGGAUUUACUGGGCGUAAAGCGUGCGUAGGCGGCUUUUUAAGUCGGAUGUGAAAUCCCUGAGCUUAACUUAGGAAUUGCAUUCGAUACUGGGAAGCUAGAGUAUGGGAGAGGAUGGUAGAAUUCCAGGUGUAGCGGUGAAAUGCGUAGAGAUCUGGAGGAAUACCGAUGGCGAAGGCAGCCAUCUGGCCUAAUACUGACGCUGAGGUACGAAAGCAUGGGGAGCAAACAGGAUUAGAUACCCGUGUAGUCCCUGUCUCUUAUAC